GAUGAAGAACGUAGCGAAAUGCGAUACUUGGUGUGAAUUGCAGAAUCCCGUGAACCAUCGAGUCUUUGAACACAAGUUGCGCCCGAAGCCACUAGGCCGAGGGCACGCCUGCCUGGGCGUCACACGCCGUUGCCCCCCCAUCUACUCCUUCGGGAUUGCGGGGGGGCGGAUGAUGGCCUCCCGUGCGCCUAGCCGCGCGGUUGGCAUAAAUACCAAGUCCUCGGCGACGCACGCCACGACAAUCGGUGGUUGCGAAACCUCGGUUGCCCGUCGUGUGCGUUCGUCGCGCAUCGAGGGCUCGAAAAAAUGCUCGGCUCCGGCUGGGCUUUCAACGCGACCCCAGGUCAGGCGGGGUUACCCGCUGAAUUUAAGCAUAUCAAUAAGCGGAGGA
Molecule: unclassified non-coding RNA, 391 nt
Filed under: soil metagenome
Description: partial contains 5.8S ribosomal RNA, internal transcribed spacer 2, and large subunit ribosomal RNA
Rfam family: 5.8S ribosomal RNA (bases 1-122)
Source: RNAcentral